RNAcentral lists this ribosomal RNA (189 nucleotides) under uncultured Staphylococcus sp. RNAcentral describes it as "partial 16S ribosomal RNA". It matches the Rfam family "Bacterial small subunit ribosomal RNA", at positions 340 to 521 of the family's 1533-position model. The record is from RNAcentral. Lineage: Bacteria; Bacillati; Bacillota; Bacilli; Caryophanales; Staphylococcaceae.
CCCGGGAGGCAGCAGUAGGGAAUCUUCCGCAAUGGACGAAAGUCUGACGGAGCAACGCCGCGUGAGUGAUGAAGGUUUUCGGAUCGUAAAACUCUGUUAUUAGGGAAGAACAAACGUGUAAGUAACUGUGCACGUCUUGACGGUACCUAAUCAGAAAGCCACGGCUAACUACGUGCCAGCAGCCGCGGU